CAUAACGUCGCAAGACCAAAGUGGGGGACCUUCGGGCCUCAUGCCAUCAGAUGUGCCCAGAUGGGAUUAGCUAGUAGGUGGGGUAAUGGCUCACCUAGGCGACGAUCCCUAGCUGGUCUGAGAGGAUGACCAGCCACACUGGAACUGAGACACGGUCCAGACUCCUACGGGAGGCAGCAGUGGGGAAUAUUGCACAAUGGGCGCAAGCCUGAUGCAGCCAUGCCGCGUGUAUGAAGAAGGCCUUCGGGUUGUAAAGU
Molecule: ribosomal RNA, 257 nt
Filed under: Klebsiella aerogenes
Lineage: Bacteria; Pseudomonadati; Pseudomonadota; Gammaproteobacteria; Enterobacterales; Enterobacteriaceae
Description: partial 16S ribosomal RNA
Rfam family: Bacterial small subunit ribosomal RNA
Source: RNAcentral